Cricetulus griseus (Chinese hamster) is the source of this 93-nucleotide small nuclear RNA. The record is from Ensembl. Lineage: Eukaryota; Metazoa; Chordata; Mammalia; Rodentia; Cricetidae.
GGCUGAGUGCUUGUUACCAAAAUUGCAAUGAUACAUGGGAGAUUAGCAUGGCCCUACACUAAGAUGAUGAUUGGAGAAGUAGUCCAUAUUUAA